GCCGAGCACCUGCACCAGGCCCUGCGCUACCUGCGGAGCCCACAGGAGCCCCUGCGAGAGGCGGCCGUCAGGUUCAUGGGCAUGGCCGGGCGGCACCUGAGGGGGCAGCAGCAAGAGCUGCAGCUGAUCUGCACUGCCCUGGAAGAAAUGGCAUGUGACAGCAGUCCUGCCAUCAGAAAUCUGUCAGCUGAAGCUGGGUUCGUUCUGCGGGCUGUACAGAGGGCUCCCUACUCCACUUGGCGUAAGCUGCGAGAUGAGUUCUGCAGCGCAUGGAAGAAACGGC
Long non-coding RNA from Zonotrichia leucophrys gambelii, 283 nucleotides. RefSeq lists it as uncharacterized. The transcript has 3 exons. Lineage: Eukaryota; Metazoa; Chordata; Aves; Passeriformes; Passerellidae. The record is from RefSeq and is a predicted model, not a curated record.